GACGAACGCUGGCGGCGUGCCUAAUACAUGCAAGUCGAACGCAGUGGGGACGGGUGCGUAACACGUGGGUAACCUCCCAUCAGAGGGGAUAACACUUGGAAACAGGUGCUAAACCGAUACUGAUGGAUGGACCCGCGGGGCAUUGGCUAGUUGGUGUGGUAACGGCUUACCAAGGCCACGAUGCAUAGCCGACCUGGGAGGAGGAUCGGGCACACUGGAACUGAGACACGGGCCAGACUCCUACGGUAGGCAGCAGUGGGGAAUCUUCGGCAAUGGACGAAAGACUGACGGAGCAACGCCGCGUGAGUGAAGAAGGUUUUCGGAUCGUAAAGCACUGUUGUUAGGGAAGCGGUAUCUAACCAGAAAGCCACGGCUAACUACGUGCCAGCAGCCGCGGUAAUUC
This 403-nucleotide ribosomal RNA is filed under the name uncultured bacterium. Its description in RNAcentral is "partial 16S ribosomal RNA". It matches the Rfam family "Bacterial small subunit ribosomal RNA", at positions 28 to 526 of the family's 1533-position model. The record is from RNAcentral.